Molecule: ribosomal RNA, 119 nt
Organism: Callithrix jacchus (white-tufted-ear marmoset)
Lineage: Eukaryota; Metazoa; Chordata; Mammalia; Primates; Cebidae
Source: Ensembl
GUCUAUGGUCAUACCACCCUGAAUGCACCCAAUCUUGUCUGAUCCCGGAAGCUAAGCAGGGUCGGGCCUGGUUAGUACUUGGAUGGGAGACUGCCUGGGAAUCCUGGGUGCUGUAGGCU